RNAcentral lists this unclassified non-coding RNA (88 nucleotides) under Pseudomonas chlororaphis. The record is from RNAcentral. Lineage: Bacteria; Pseudomonadati; Pseudomonadota; Gammaproteobacteria; Pseudomonadales; Pseudomonadaceae.
CUGCUGGGCGGUCUAGAAGGGCUCACCGAAAGGUGGGCCCUUUUUUGUUGUCCGCGGUUUUCAAAACCUUUGCAAAGCCGCCACUCAA